This 433-nucleotide ribosomal RNA is filed under the name uncultured bacterium. RNAcentral describes it as "partial 16S ribosomal RNA". It matches the Rfam family "Bacterial small subunit ribosomal RNA", at positions 29 to 507 of the family's 1533-position model. The record is from RNAcentral.
AACGAACGCUGGCGGCAUGCCUAACACAUGCAAGUCGAACGAGACCUUCGGGUCUAGUGGCGCACGGGUGCGUAACGCGUGGGAACCUGCCCUUAGGUUCGGAAUAACUUCCCGACAGGGGUGCUAAUACCGGAUAAUGUCUUCGGACCAAAGAUUUAUCGCCUUUGGAUGGGCCCGCGUUGGAUUAGCUAGUUGGUAGGGUAAAAGCCUACCAAGGCGACGAUCCAUAGCUGGUCUGAGAGGAUGAUCAGCCACACUGGGACUGAGACACGGCCCAGACUCCUACGGGAGGCAGCAGUGGGGAAUAUUGGACAAGGGGCGAAAGCCUGAUCCAGCAAUGCCGCGUGAGUGAUGAAGGCCUUAGGGUUGUAAAGCUCUUUUACCCGGGAUGAUAAUGACAGUACCGGGAGAAUAAGCUCCGGCUAACUCCGUG